UGACUGUGGCUCAUCUAUAGCUUUGUACAGUCACCCCACCCAUCCACUUCCCUCGAAGUGACUUUACUGUGUACUGUGACAGUACACUUUCUAAGCAAUUGAGACUUAAGAGCCUUGCUCAAGGGCCCAACAGUGACAACCUACCCAAACAUCAAGAGUACCUGCACUAACCAGGUAAUAUUUGGGUUGGGUUAUAGAACAUUCUUCGGACAAGGCAUGUGUCAGCCUGCAGGGGGCGCCAGAGUACAGAGGCAUUUGUAUGUGCACACAUUGGGAAACACUAGGCACUAAGCAGACAGGGCGUCGAGCUUUAAUCACUGUGUGUGUGUGUGUGUGUGUGUGUGUGUGUGUGUGUGUGUGUGUGUGUGUGUGUGUGUGUGUACCUUCGGAAGGUGUGUGAAGCAGCAGCGUAGUGCAGGGGACUGCAUCCGUUCACAUCGAGUUCAUUCACCUCGGCUCCAGCGCUCACUAAAGCUACGGUGCACUGGUGAUUUACCAUUCUGGAUAAGGAUCUGGGAACGAGUGAAGCGCCCAUGAAUGGCGGCCAUGUGCAAUGGGCUCUUACCCUCUUUCGUCUAGAAAAUUGAAGAAAUCAUAAACACAGCGCAGUGCAGGUGGUGCGGUUUUACCUCGGCGCCGAGGCGGAGCAGGUGCUUGGCAACGCCGAUGUGCCCACCGAUAGCAGCUACGUGCAGAGGAGUGUAACCCUGCUCAUCUCUGCACCCCACAUCAGCACGGCGAGACACCAGGAGCUUCACCACCUCCAAAUGCCCUGAUCCACAGAGAGUCACCGAUGUAGGCCGCAUGGUGCAGAGCUGUUCUUCCAUUCUGAUCUGUAACGUCCACGUCCCUCAUGAGAGGCAGCAGAGACGCGGCGCAUCUCAGCGCCCAAUUCGAGGCGGCCACAUGCAGCGGCAUCUGCCCCAACCGUGCCCUGGCUUCAACCUCCGACCCCUGACUCAGCAGCAACCCCACUGCCUUCUAAAAACGGACAGGAUGGAAGACUGAAUUCCAAAAAGCUUUCUAGAGUCAAUCCUACAUCUGUGCACUACAGUACAUAGGGUACAACAAAAAAAGGUGUGUUUCUUUAUAAUAACCUGUUAAUAACGUUAUUAUUAGUGGUAUUAUUAUUACUACAGUUGUUGUUAUUAUUACUAGUAUGUUUAUUGCACUAGGCACUUCGUAUGUUAUUAUUCCUUGUAUUAUAUACAUACAUAGCCUAUCUCAGCUGAAUAAUGAGGAAUUCUGUAGUCUGUGUAUUCUUUAAAAGUUCUUCACUUCAACUCUUCACUCAAAUUGUUAUGCUAA
Long non-coding RNA from Trichomycterus rosablanca, 1308 nucleotides. RefSeq lists it as uncharacterized. NCBI's taxonomy places the organism in Eukaryota, Metazoa, Chordata, Actinopteri, Siluriformes, Trichomycteridae. The transcript has 5 exons. The record is from RefSeq and is a predicted model, not a curated record.